RNAcentral lists this unclassified non-coding RNA (27 nucleotides) under synthetic construct. The record is from RNAcentral.
AAGGUCAUUCGCAAGAGUGGCCUUUAU